GAAGGAGUAGGUUGUUUGGGUAAAGUUUAGUGCAUUAAUAUAUUAAAAAUAAUUUUUGCAGUUUGUAUACGAAAUAUAAAAAGUAAUAUGGACGGAUACAAUUAAUAAAAUAUAAUUGGAUUUCAUUAAUAGCACUUGGUUUUUCCGAGGCAGUCUCGUUAGAAACUAAGUUGCGAUAUUUUAUUCUUUGUCAGCAGUCAAACGCAUUUUCAGAAAAAUAUUUUAAAAUAUGAACCUGCAAUCAUUAUUUAGGGAUUUCAAUCCAAGUAAAUUUAUUGUACACUGCAGUCUCUUUACUUUCGUGACCCUCUUUGCCUUGCGUUUAGAUGGAUUUAUUGAUUGGCCAUAUUGG
Teleopsis dalmanni is the source of this 352-nucleotide long non-coding RNA. RefSeq lists it as uncharacterized. The record is from RefSeq and is a predicted model, not a curated record. NCBI's taxonomy places the organism in Eukaryota, Metazoa, Arthropoda, Insecta, Diptera, Diopsidae. The transcript is spliced from 3 exons.